Molecule: transfer RNA, 72 nt
Filed under: Hortaea werneckii EXF-2000
Lineage: Eukaryota; Fungi; Ascomycota; Dothideomycetes; Mycosphaerellales; Teratosphaeriaceae
Description: tRNA-Thr (CGT) (tRNA-Thr-CGT-1-1, tRNA-Thr-CGT-1-2)
Rfam family: tRNA
About the family: Transfer RNA (tRNA) molecules are approximately 80 nucleotides in length.
Source: RNAcentral
GCCUCUGUGGCUUAGUGGUACAGCGUCUCACUCGUAAUGAGAAGAUCCCCGGUUCGAUUCCGGGUGGAGGCA